Molecule: ribosomal RNA, 253 nt
Filed under: uncultured bacterium
Lineage: Bacteria
Description: partial 16S ribosomal RNA
Rfam family: Bacterial small subunit ribosomal RNA
Source: RNAcentral
UACGUAGGGUGCGAGCGUUGUCCGGAAUUAUUGGGCGUAAAGAGCUCGUAGGCGGCCUGUCGCGUCGGAUGUGAAAGCCCGGGGCUUAACCCCGGGUCUGCAUUCGAUACGGGCAGACUAGAGUGUGGUAGGGGAGACUGGAAUUCCUGGUGUAGCGGUGGAAUGCGCAGAUAUCAGGAGGAACACCAAUGGCGAAGGCAGGUCUCUGGGCCACAACUGACGCUGAGGAGCGAAAGCAUGGGGAGCGAACAGG